AGUCGAACGAUGAAGCCGGAGCUUGCUCUGGUGGAUUAGUGGCGAACGGGUGAGUAACACGUGAGUAACCUGCCCUUGACUCUGGAAUAAGCGUUGGAAACGACGUCUAAUACCGGAUACGAGCUUCAGCCGCAUGGCUAGGAGCUGGAAAGAAUUUCGGUCAAGGAUGGACUCGCGGCCUAUCAGGUAGUUGGUGAGGUAAUGGCUCACCAAGCCUACGACGGGUAGCCGGCCUGAGAGGGUGACCGGCCACACUGGAACUGAGACACGGUCCAGACUCCUACGGGAGGCAGCAGUGGGGAAUAUUGCACAAUGGGCGCAAGCCUGAUGCAGCAACGCCGCGUGAGGGACGACGGCCUUCGGGUUGUAAACCUCUUUUAGUAGGGAAGAAGCGAAAGUGACGGUACCUGCAGAAAAAGCACCGGCUAACUACGUGCCAGCAGCCGCGGUAAUACGUAGGGUGCAAGCGUUAUCCGGAAUUAUUGGGCGUAAAGAGCUCGUAGGCGGUUUGUCGCGUCUGCUGUGAAAACUGGAGGCUCAACCUCCAGCUUGCAGUGGGUACGGGCAGACUAGAGUGCGGUAGGGGAGAUUGGAAUUCCUGGUGUAGCGGUGGAAUGCGCAGAUAUCAGGAGGAACACCAAUGGCGAAGGCAGAUCUCUGGGCCGUAACUGACGCUGAGGAGCGAAAGCAUGGGGAGCGAACAGGAUUAGAUACCCUGGUAGUCCAUGCCGUAAACGUUGGGAACUAGAUGUAGGGACCAUUCCACGGUUUCUGUGUCGCAGCUAACGCAUUAAGUUCCCCGCCUGGGGAGUACGGCCGCAAGGCUAAAACUCAAAGGAAUUGACGGGGGCCCGCACAAGCGGCGGAGCAUGCGGAUUAAUUCGAUGCAACGCGAAGAACCUUACCAAGACUUGACAUAUACGAGAACGGGCUAGAAAUAGUCAACUCUUUGGACACUCGUAAACAGGUGGUGCAUGGUUGUCGUCAGCUCGUGUCGUGAGAUGUUGGGUUAAGUCCCGCACGAGCGCAACCCUCGUCCUUUGUUGCCAGCACGUAAUGGUGGGACUCAAGGGAGACUGCCGGGGUCAACUCGGAGGAAGGUGGGGAUGACGUCAAAUCAUCAUGCCCCUUAUGUUCUGGGUCUCACGC
This 1149-nucleotide ribosomal RNA is filed under the name Salinibacterium sp. C3W-19. RNAcentral's name for it is "bacterial SSU rRNA". It matches the Rfam family "Bacterial small subunit ribosomal RNA", at positions 60 to 1221 of the family's 1533-position model. Lineage: Bacteria; Bacillati; Actinomycetota; Actinomycetes; Micrococcales; Microbacteriaceae. The record is from RNAcentral.